This 73-nucleotide transfer RNA is filed under the name Candidatus Microgenomatia bacterium. RNAcentral's name for it is "tRNA-Ala". It matches the Rfam family "tRNA". From Rfam's summary of the family: Transfer RNA (tRNA) molecules are approximately 80 nucleotides in length. Their secondary structure includes four short double-helical elements and three loops (D, anti-codon, and T loops). Further hydrogen bonds mediate the characteristic L-shaped molecular structure. tRNAs have two regions of fundamental functional importance: the anti-codon, which is responsible for specific mRNA codon recognition, and the 3' end, to which the tRNAs corresponding amino acid is attached (by aminoacyl-tRNA synthetases). tRNAs cope with the degeneracy of the genetic code in two manners: having more than one tRNA (with a specific anti-codon) for a particular amino acid; and 'wobble' base-pairing, i.e. permitting non-standard base-pairing at the 3rd anti-codon position. The record is from RNAcentral. Lineage: Bacteria; Candidatus Microgenomatota; Candidatus Microgenomatia (nom. nud.).
GGGCCAUUAGCUCAUCUGGUAGAGCGCUACAUUUGCAAUGUAGAGGUGAUCGGUUCGAGCCCGAUAUGGUCCA